Syngnathus acus (greater pipefish) is the source of this 136-nucleotide long non-coding RNA. RefSeq lists it as uncharacterized. The transcript is spliced from 4 exons. The record is from RefSeq and is a predicted model, not a curated record. Lineage: Eukaryota; Metazoa; Chordata; Actinopteri; Syngnathiformes; Syngnathidae.
ACUGCCAUUAGAGGGAAAAAGUUUCUGAAGGUCAUCGUGGAGCCCCUUCUGGCAAUCCCUGGGCUGAGGAGCCUCAACUCUCGUUCAGAAUGUGACGCGGAGAGUGGACGGUGCCCAUGACUGAUCUGGAGACCUU